UUUCCGUAGGUGAACCUGCGGAAGGAUCAUUAACAAAUAAAAGAGUGGUAGGCGUAAGCCUGCCACUCAUAAGCGAUGGCCCGCGAGGGUCAUCACAAUCAACUGAUCAUAAUUAGACAUCAUAAAUACAACUAAAUACAACUUUUAACAAUGGAUCUCUUGGUUCCC
This 168-nucleotide unclassified non-coding RNA is filed under the name plant metagenome. Its description in RNAcentral is "partial contains small subunit ribosomal RNA, internal transcribed spacer 1, and 5.8S ribosomal RNA". The record is from RNAcentral.